RNAcentral lists this long non-coding RNA (19948 nucleotides) under Setaria italica (foxtail millet). RNAcentral's name for it is "long non-coding RNA (SITA_LNC004586)". Lineage: Eukaryota; Viridiplantae; Streptophyta; Magnoliopsida; Poales; Poaceae. The record is from RNAcentral.
GAGUUGAUUGCUGUGUUCCUAUGGGCCGACCCAUUUUAUCUUCAUAAUCCAUUUUGAGCCCAUAUUGGCCCAACUACUCCAGCCUCUCGAUCGGCCGAUUUCUAUCAACUCCCUUCGCCGAAACAUUGCAGCACCAAUCGGCCGAUCUCCAACUGUAGCACCAAUCGGUCGAUUCCCAAUCGUGACCUCCGUGCCUCGCCGCAUCAGCUGAUUCUCACCCUUCUUGACACCGAUUCCAUACGUGUCAAAAUCUGGCGUCAACACAUGCCCCCCAGUUUCGGAGUAAAAUAUAAUCUUUACUUUGAAAUUCCUUUUAACUUCCCUUCCGAAACAAACGCAUUGAAAAUGCCCUUCCGUUUCGCAGCCUUCAGCCUGAUGAUUGCAAUCUUUUCAAAACGGACGCCCACGACAACCACUCCUCCCGAAAAAAUCGAACGGCCGGCACAGUAAAAAUCCCGCUUUUACCCCUUCUCAGACCACCCUUAAAUAUCAGCACGUCCUGUACUUCUUUUCACGAGCUCACGUCUUCCUUCUUUGGCGCACUGAUCUCCUUGUUCCUCCGGCAUCUUCCCUAGCCUCCAAUCUUUCCCUCCGGCAUCUCCUUCCAUCUACAUUCCAUCUCGCUUCCCCAAUGGCGACACCCUCAGGCACUUCACCAACAUCCGAAGCCCCAGAGACGGCUCCACCAGCGGCGGCUCCAUCGGCGGGAGCGGGAGCUCCAUCGGCGGGAGUGGGAGCUUCGAUGGAGGUCCCACCAACGGCUUCAGCACCCGUAGCUUCGCCGGCGAUCCUGCCAACCACGAUGAGCUUCAUCCCGGAGGUUUUUACCGAAACUUUUCUUUCUUUAAUACCAAUGUAUUUACCUUAGAUCCGUUCUUACUUCCGCCCCCUUUUUCCUUUUUUAGGCGGUUAGACACCAGAUUACCAUUCGCCUUACCAAAACCCCCGGUCUUAUCUGCCUUGGUCCCAUGGGAAACCCAGAUCCAACUGACUUGAUCAAUUUGGAAACCCAUAGAAUUCCAUUCAGCGAUCAACCAUGGACCUAGACCAUUGGUCAGGCACUUUCAGAUCAUGGUCGAAUGAAACCCCCGGUUGGAGGGAAUGGUACCAACGGAUAGCCGCCUCCAAGAGAGUUCAAUGGGACGAGCACAAAAUCGGCCAGUGCAUCGAUCUGUCUUUGUCCCAAAUGGAAAGGAAUGAGCCCUUAGUAAUAGCGGCCUCCUACUUUUGGUCCGACGCUCUCAACGCGUUUCUCUUCAGACAUGGGCCUAUGACUCCCACCUUGGCCGAUGUGGUCAUGUUGACCGGGCCUCAAUAUUUCCUCCCUUGAUACUCCUUUCUGUUACCUGGCCAAAACAAGACGGUCGGGACAGUCGCAGAAAGGGAGCAUGCGGCCUUCUUGAUGAUGUGGCUAGAGAAACACCUCUUUUGCGGAAGGGUAGCCGGUCCAUCCACAAACACACAGGCUCUGGCCAAGGCGCUAUCGAUAGGGGCUUCUGUUCCUCUUGGAAAGCAUUUAUUGGGAUCAGUUUAUCAUAUGUUGCACUAGAUCAGCAUCAAGGUAUCCAAAGGGGAGCCGAUUGGAAAUCCAGGUGGACCCUGGUGGUUCAUCAACUUGUGGCUCAACCUGUACAUGAGCAAGAUCUCCCAACAGCGAGUGGAGUACAUGAUAUCUCCCAACAUUGAAUCGGCAGAGAACCCCACUGUACGGCGCCGGUGCACUUCCUUCGGUGAAGCGGCAUUGGCCUUCUUUGGUUGCUCAUAUUCUGCUACCAAGGUGGCUGAAUAUUUCAGAUGCUUCUACAAUGGCUUCAGCGAAGACGCAACCAGCUGGUUCCCUUAUCAAAGGGAGGAACCACUCUUCGAGCUCCCCUCCUGUUUUGACUCAGCCACUAGAAAAUUUGAUGAGGACCUCACAGAUGAGUUGAUCAAGCCGGGGAUCCUGCCGGCAAAUUUCUUUUCGGGGAAGGACGCCCCCACUUAUGAGUUUUACAACCCUUCUGUUGCAGCAUGGCAAUUCGGCUUAGAUCAACUGCCGAUUUAUGCAUACUUCGCCGGUCGAGCAAAAUUCAGAGAGGAGCUCACCAAAGGUCUCGACUACAGUCGGCUACAUGAUCGGAUCCCAAACUCCAGCACCAUAGACCUGGCCGAUUGGAUAGUGGCCCCUUUCGCCGUUCAGCAGUUCAAGCUAUGGUGGGCCAAAUGGAAAUAGCAUCUAUUCUGAGCUUCUGCGGCGAUAUAUUGCAAUCUCCUGGAUCCCAACAACAUCGACCCGAAUGCCGAGGUAUCGCUCUCUAUUUAGCCGAUUUUCAACUUCCUCUUUUUAUAUACUGAUUCUUAUUAUUUUUUCAGUCUGAGAGUCGUGCUCCCCGAAAACGUAGUCGGAGUGGCCGGCCGAUAGAGGACCGUUAUCCAUACACGGAAUUUCCCCUCAUCGGCUAUCAUGCCCCCUCUGUUGAUGACAUAGCCGGCCGGGCGAAACAAGCGCAGAAGAAGAUCAUCAAGAAAACCAGUCGCCGGGUGCGAGCCCGCACAAAAUCGGCCGAUCCACCCGCGGCUGUAUCGGCGGAAACUUUGAUUGUGCCGACCCUCCCGGUCGCUGAAGAAGUUGACCUCCAAGCUGCUACAGAAGCCGGAGCGGCUGCCGCGUCAUUAUUGGUGGAAGCCAUUCAGGUUAAACUCGUCAUCUGAUCUCUCCUGGUCGUUAUUUCAAUACUGACCUUUCCUAUAUUAGGCCGCAUAGACUGCUUCAGAAGAUCCACAGCAAACGGCGAUGCCCCAAGCAGAAGUUGAAAUACCAGUGCCCCCUUCCGUCGAGGUACAUGAUCUCUCAAUUCAAUUCUUUAAUAUUUGAAUCAUGACCUUACCCAUCUUGACACAGGUCAUCGCCACAUUACCUAUGUUAUCCGACCAGCCACCUGUCAGAGAAGUCCCUCAAGAGGUCAGCCUAAGCAGAACGCCGAUCGUUGUCGAAUCCUCUUCUUCUGAUGAGCCAAUUGCACCAGCCCCUGAGUCGAGAGUAGCGAUUCCGCAAACGCAGAUGGAAGAGAUCUGCUUUAAAGAAGUAAGAAGUCACUCAACCCACAUUGGCCAAUUUGCUACCACCAUCGGUUGACUUACUUUCCUUCUAUUUAUCAUUUUGCAGGAAUAGGAUACUCCCAAUAAUAGCCUCUUCUCAUUUGCGGUCGCGCUCUCUGAUGACAAGGAAGUCGCCUCUCAUCAAGUCACUUUGAGCUCCGUCCCCGAUGACGUCCGUGCUAAGCUUGAAAGUAUACGGUCCCUUCUCCAAGAAGACAUCGGCCAAUUGGUGGAGGAUGCCUCGCCGAUUCGGCAGCUCUUUGGUGACGUUAGCGGCCGAGUCCCAGAGGAAGCAGAAGAAGCCUUAGCACCCGCCUCUUAUAUUGAAUUGAUGCGGAUCCCGGUCUUCAGGGCCCUGCGUCACAUGGCCGAUCGCGCCAAGCUGGCCAAGACUCGUGAGGAGGAGGACUCGUACAAUCAUCGGGCCCAAGAGGUACACCAUCGGAUUCACUUCCUCGAGAACUUCCGUCCCGGACUCGUCGGUACGAUAGAUCGUCUCAAGCGCCGAAGAGCAGAACUUUCCAAGGAGAUGGAGCAAGUAACCAAGGAGAUAGCCAUUGAAGAGAAGAAGCUUCAGAAACUUCCCUCCGUUAUCGCCGAUUUGAAGCAGGAGAGGCAGCAUCUGGCCCACGAGGCCCUCGAACUUCACUGCCAUAUGUCAGAAGUCCCAAGGUCGGCGGAGGAUGACCAGCGAGUCUUAGACUCGGUCGAAUAGAUCAGGCGUCGAGCGAUCGUGGCCAUCAACGCCCUUCUGGGAUGAUCUGUAAAAGUACUGGCCGUUUUGUAAGAACAUUAAUGCCUUUUGACCGUCCUUCGUGGCGCCCUCUUAUUUAUUACCCCUUUUACUUUGACGGGACGUGUCUUACCAAACCCCUGCCCUUUCUCUUCUUAUAAAUACCGGUCCUGGUUUCGCCCUCGAGAAUACCUGCUCCACUUGAUUUCUUUCUCCUCGAUUACGUUUUAUUGGAACAUUUGGAGUCAUGUCUUCUUCGUCUUCCUCUUUCUCCUCCUCUUCUGUCAAUCAGGUACGAGAUCCGUCUCCGCUUAUUUCAGUUUGAUUCCUUUAACUCGUCCUAACUUUUAGAAAAUGUCGUGGCGGGGACAUCUCACCCGGUGUUGGAUCGAAGCCAUCCCCUUCCUCACCAGGUUGAGGCGGAAGCCGUGAUGAGAGAUGUGGAAGAACGAAGCACCCGCCUCCUGAUAGAAUUAGGUCGAAUUGAGAGGGAACUCAAGAAGAAACGCAGUUGAGUAUUUUUGUUCUAAAGGCGACUUGUACCGCGUCAGCCGUGUAACUCAUCGUCCGUACCGAAUGAUAAAUCGGCCGAUUUGAACGAUUAUUUUUCUCCUUUAGGCAAUUCCUUUUUCUGCAUCGGCUACAUGAUUAUCUAGGAAACAACCGUUCUGUCCUGCCAUGCCUCAUAAUGAUUUUUAUGCAUCGACCCAUAUACUGGGGUAGUAUCUUUUCAAGUACCUCCCAUUCAAUGCCCUAGUAAAUUCUUCUCCUUCGAUUGUCUCCAGAAUGUACGCAUUUCCCGGAGCGCAUCGGCCGAUUCUAUACGGACCUUCCCAAGUGGGAGACCAUUUACCAAAUUUAGGAUCUUUAGAUCCAAUCGGCAGCACUAACUUCCAUACCAAAUAUCCUUGGGAGAACUGCUUGACUUUGACCUUCUUGUCAUACCAUCUGGCCACUUUCUUUUUGUUUUUCUCGAUACUGAUCAAGGCUCUCAAACACUGACCCACCAAAUCGUCGAGUUCCCUCUUCAUGAGCGAGGAGUAAUCAUCGGCCGUCAGCUGAUCUUGAAGCGACGUACGUCUUGAUCCUGUUCUCAACUCCCACGACAAUACCGCCUCAUGAGCGUACACCAGUUAAUAAGGGGACACCUUAGUAGCUCCGUGGUAGGCCAUCCUGUAUGCCCAUAAAGCUUCGGUUAGACAUAAGUGCCAUUUUUGGGUUGUUCCUCAAUCUUCCUCUUGAUCAACUUAAUUAUCCCCUUAUUGGAAGAUUCGGCCUGGCUGUUAGCCUGAGCAUAAUACGGGGAGGAAUUUAGCAGCUUGAUCCCCAUAUCGGCCGUGAACUCCUCGAACUCUCCCGACGUGAACAUCGUCCCUUGAUCGGUUGUGAUAGUCUGAGGGAUGCCGAAACGAUAGACAAUAUGGUCCCUCACGAAAUCGACCAUAGCGGCCGACGUUACGGCCUUUAAUGGAAUUGCCUCCACCCAUUUGGUGAAAUAAUCUGUGGCUACCAGAAUGAAUUUAUGUCCUUUACUUGAUGGAGGAUAAAUUUGUCCGAUGAGGUCUAUUCCCCAACCUCUGAACGGCCAUGGCUUGAUAAUUGGAUUCAUAGCCGAUGCGGGCGCGCGUUGCACGUUCCCAUAUUUUUGACAAUCUUGACAUCCUUUAUAAUAUUUGAAACAGUCCUCAAGGAUUGUCGGCCAAUAAUACCCAUUAUUCCUAAUCAUCCAUUUCAUCUUAUGCGUCAAUUGGUGGGCUCCACAGUCCCCUUCGUGGAUUUCUCCCAUCAGGGUCUUCGCCUCCUCCGUCCCUAGGCAUUUGAGUAGAACACCAUCAAUUGUCCGGUAGAACAAGUCAUUUUCCAGUAACACAUAUUUUGUGGCCUGAAAUCGUAUUCGCCGAUCCACUUUCUUAAACAGGUCUUUUAAAUAAUCGGCGAUCUCAUUUCGCCAGUCGUCGGCCGCGAGUUCCAGAACCAUGGCGCCUUGAAUCGGCCGAUACCCGGACGUGUGCUGGGCAAGCCUGUUGGCCUCUUGAUUAUAAUCCCUGGGGAUAUGCUCAAUAACCGCGGAUUUGAAUUCUUUGAGAAGCUGGAGGCAAUCUUCAUAAUAAAUCCUUAACACGUCAUCCUUGCACUCGGAUCUUCCUGUCAAUUGGUCCACGAUGAGCAUGGAAUCUCCAAAAAUCUCGACGGUGUCGGCCUUAAUCUCUCUUAGCAAUUGUAACCCUUUUAGGACGGCCCGGUACUCCGCCUGGUUAUUGGUGGCGGAUGCUUCUAUCGGCAGAGAGAAAUCAUAACUUGCCCCCCGAGGCGAUAUGAGAACGAUGCCGAUUCCCGAUCCGGCCCCACAUGACGAGCCAUCGAAAUAUAAGGUCCAUGGUACUGGUUCCACGACGGUGAUUUCUGGUCCGCAGUGCUGGCGACGAAAUCGGCCAUAACCUGACCUUUGAUGGCUUUUGUCGAUUUGUAUCGUAGAUCAAACUCCGAUAAAGCCAAAAUCCACUUUCCGAUCCACCCUUUCAAAAUUGGCAAUGACAGCAUGUACUUCACUACGUCGUCGUUGCAUACGACUAUGCAUUCUGCCGAUAAUAAGUAGUGCCUGAGCUUGGUGCAUGAGAAGUAAAGACAUAAGCAUAGCCGCUCUACCGGGGGAUAUCUUGUUUCGGCAUCCAAAAGUCUUCUGCUAACAUAAUAUAUCACCCAUUCCUUUCCCUCAAACUCCUGGAUUAACGCUGACCCGAUAGCUCGCUCGUCGGCCGAUAAAUACAGCUUGAACGGCUUACCAGUUUGUGGUGGGACCAACACGGGAGGCGAGGCCAAGUACUGCUUGAUGUCUUCUAGAGCUUUGCGUUGCUCUUCUCCCCACACGAAUUCUUGGUCAGGUUUUAAUUUUAAUAAUGGUGUGAAGGCCUAGAUACAUCUGGACAGGUUGGAUAUGAAUCUUCUGAUGAAAUUGACCUUGCCGAUCAAGGAUUGCAACUCGCUUUUAUUCUGCGGGGCCACGACUUUAUUGAUAGCCGCUAUAGUCUUCCGGUUGAUCUCUAUCCCACGCUCAUGAACCAUGAAACCCAAGAAUUGUCCGGCGGAUACGUCGAAAGCACAUUUGUUCGGAUUCAUUUUUAACCCAUGCCUUCUUGUGCAUUCCAACACUUGCCGCAAAUCGGCCAGAUGUUCCUGGUGUCCUUUUGAUUUGACCACGACGUCGUCGAUGUAAAUUUCUACCAGUAUGCCGAUAAGUUUGUAGAAUAUGUAAUUCAUGGUUCGUUGAUACGUGGCACCGGUGUUCUUCAAACCGAAAGUCAUUACCACCCAUUCGAACAAUCCGAGGUGACCUGGGCACCUGAAAGCUAUUUUCGAUAUGUCCUCUUCGGCCAUUAGUAUUUGAUUGUAUCCGGCAUUUCCAUCCAUGAAACUGAUGACUUUGUGACCCACGGCGGCGUCUAUUAACACAUCGGCCCUCGGCAUCGGGUAUCCGUCCAUUGGCGUAGCUUGAUUAAGGUUCCUGAAGUCAAUGCACAUGCGUAGCUUUCCGUUCUUCUUGUAUAUGGGCACGAUGUUGGAGAUCCAUUCGGCAUAACGGCAUUUCCGAAUAAAUUUCGCUUCAAUCAGCCUUGUGAUUUCGGCCUUUAUAUCAGGUAAGAUUUUGGGAUUACAUCAUCGUGCAGGCUGCUGAUAUGGCCGAUAUCCUGGCUUUAUAGGCAACCGGUGUUCGACAAUAGACCGGUCUAAUCUGGGCAUUUCAUGGUAUUCCCAGGCAAAGCAAUCUUUAAACUCUUUCAAUAAAUCUGUCAAUUUACAUUUGUAUUCCGGAUCCAAAUUAGCACUAAUGUACGUCGGCCUCGGCUUGGUGCCAUCGCCUAAAUCUAUCAUCUCUAAUGAAUCGACCGACGUGAACCCGUGCCCUAGCUUCCCGUCUUCCCGGACGAACUAAUCCAUUUAAUCUGAAUCUUCGAAGCCGACUGCUCGGAUCGGUUGUAGACCAAAAUCAGACACCUUCAGGAAAUCAGUGUCCCAAAUUCUCCUGGAUAUGCACUUGACGUUCUCGCAGCUCCAUUGCUGCGUAUCGGCCGCCGCGACGCUGUAUGCAGAAUCGGCGGUGACCACUUCGAUGUUAUCGCCGACCCACUGCACGAGGUAUUGGUGCAUUAUAGACGGGAUGCAGCAAUUUGCGUGUAUCCAAUCUCGGCCGAGUAGCAUGUUGUAGGACCCUUUGCCAUUAAUAAUAAAGAAAGUGGUGGGAAGGGUCUUACUGCCCAUGGUGAGGUCGACGCAGAGCGCGCCACGGGAAGGGGACACGUUGCCUUCGAAGUCUUUGAGCAUCAUGUCCGUCUUGGUCAGAUCGUCAUCACUUUUUCCUAGCUUCCGGAACAUGGUGUACGGCAUGAUGUUGACAGCAGCUCCUCCAUCUACUAGUAAUCUAGUGACGGGUCAGCCAUUGACAUGUCCUUUGAGGAAUAAUGCCUUGAGGUGUUGCCGUUUUUCGUCCUCGGGUUUCUCGAAUGUGGCUGUCAUUGGCUCCAAAGCCAAUUGCGCCAACUGUUCUUCUAUCGCCGACAUGUUAUGUCGGUCGGAGGGAGUCAUGAAUUCCAUUGGCAGAAUGAAAACCAUGCUGACAUCGGCUGCCGAUUCUUGGUUGUCGUCGUCUUCCCUGUCGUUUCUUUUGGGGCGCCAAACCUGAGGCCUGUCGUUGUUCUUGUCCAUCAUCUGUUGUUGCUCUUCUUCCUGUUGUUCCCAUUGGCGGAGACGUUGGAUUCUUCAUUUUUGAGAUUUAGUCAAUCCGUCAGGGCACCACCUGGGGUUUACUGGUUUAGCUGAUGGUUUGGCGCGUUCCAUUCUGGUUCGCGUCCCAAGGGGUUCUCGUCUGAUACCCGAGCAUCGGCCAUCUCUUCUAGCCGAUCGUGAGCGCUGACUCUAUCUUCUGGUUGGUUGUACCGAUUGGUCCUGGCCUCUGGUUGGUCGCGCCGAUCAAAUCUGCCCCCCAGCCUAUCGUUUCGCUCACGCCUAUCUUCCAACCAGUCGUAUCGGUCACUUCUGCCCCCCAGCCGAUCACGCACUGAAGGGCGCUGGUCCUCUUGCUCGCGCCAGUUUCUGCUGAUCGGCUCUGGCCUUCCAUCUCUGGAGCAAGAUCUUCUGAAUGGCCGGUUGUUGCAAUAUGGGCUGUUGCACUCAGGGCAAUUAUCGGCCGAUGGCAACCUAAGGUUACUCUCCCAGUAGUGGAUGAAUAACGGGCAUCGCCAGUGAUCUUCAUGUCGUCGCAUCAUCUCUUCCCGGAAUCUUGAACUUUCUUGUUGUCGUUGAUACUUGUUAAGCAGAAAUUGGGAGGUGAUGGGCCUGCGUGGUUCUCCCGAUCCUUCGCCUUCAUCCUCCAUCCGUCGUUUCCCCUUGACGUCUUCGGGCACUGCUUGAUUUUUGGGAUCUACGGCGCCGCUCUUUUUAGCCGAUUCAGAUGUUAGCACCUUGGUUUAGAGUGAGUUCCUUCCUGUAUCAACCAUGUUGGUGGGGAAGGGAUGCUGAUCGAUCUUCAUCAGCUUUACUGGCUUUGUCGGGACAUCGAAUUUGAGCCAGCCCUGCUCGAUGGCCGAUUGUAUUUGCUGUCGGAAGAUCUUGCAUUCGUUCGUAUCAUGGGAGGUGGCAUUAUGCCACUUGCAAUAUUUCAUCUUCUUUAGCUGGCCGAUGGGAUCGUAUGGUAUGGUGAGAGCUUGAUUUAUCCUUCCUGGAGGAGGAGAUCGAAGAUUUUAUCGGCCUUUGAUGUGUUGAAACCGAAUGCCUCUGGCUCCUUCUUUCCAAACGGGCACGAUAUCGGCUUCUUCCCUUUGACCCAUUCCGCCAGGCCAAUUUCUGUUUCUUCUUCGGACUCAGCCCCUUCUAAGUACGCCACCUUCUUCUGGAAAUUCCUCCGUGGAUCAAAGGGGCGUACUUCCUGGGCGGACAGUCGAUGUACGAUUUAGCUCAGGCUCUCAAACUCCUGUGAAGCAUAUUUUUCUUUGAUGUGAGGCAAGAGACCCUGGAAGGCUAUAUCGGCCAAUUGUGCGUCGGUUAGGACUAGGGUGUAGCAUUUGUUUCUGAUCUCCCUGAACCUCUACACGUAUGUGGACACCGGCUCAUCACUCCUUUGUCUCAGGCUGGUUAAGUCUGAAAGCUUCAUCUCAUGUACCCCCGCGUAGAAGUAUUUGUUGAACUGCUUCUCCAAGUCGGCCCAUGUAAUUAUGGAGUUGGGUGGCAGUGUAGUAAACCAUUGGAAGGCCGACCCGGACAGGGAUGACGAGAAGAGGCGUACCCGUAGAGCAUCUUGUGCAGCUGCCUCCCCACAUUGGAUGAUAAAUCUGUUUACGUGUUCCACAGUUGAGGUAUCAUCAAGCCCCGAAAACUUGGUGAAAUCGAGAACUUUGUACCGAUGAGGAAACGGCAGUAAGUCAUAGGUAGGCGGGUACGGCGUUCUAUAUGUGUAGGUUUGCACCUUCGACUUUAAACCGAAUUACUCUUGAAUCACCUCUGCUAUGCGUGCCGUCCAAUAUGCUUGUUUUUGAUGAACUAUCGGCUGGGGAAUCGGCACGUGUUGGUAGAUCAGCGGCGGGAUGACCGGGUGGUGGACGAAAGCGUGCGGCGCCUGUUGCGACGCAGACGGCUGUGUAGUUGGCAUCGGUUGUCUCAGUGAACCGGCCGUUUCGUCAUAUAGUACAAUCAGCGCAGUAACCCAAAGUGCUUCCGUUGUUUCUGCCCCCCUGCCCAUCUCCAGCGCGACUGGCUGAUACUCUGAGACCAUCGGCCGUACGACCAAUUGGAAUGGUGCCUGGAUCGGAGAGCUUCCAUAGCCAGCUGAUUGAUCUUGGCCGACCGACGUCGAUGGUGCCCCCCAAGAUGCUGAAUUUAGCGAAGAUGAUUGCGCGGAAGAAAUCUGAAUGGGUUGAGGCGGCGCAUGGGGCUAAAGAUAUGGUGCGCCGUUGUAUCCCAGAUGCGUCGAUGACGAAGGAGCACUAGAUCCUCCAGGCUGACCUUGAAUCGGCUGAGGAGCUGAGUAGGGUGAAUUUGGAGAAUUCCUGACCGGGGCUGUGAUAGGUGGUAUCCUCGAGACACACCAUUGGCCAGGGAGCUGAUGACGGCAUUGUAUACCGUAUUAGUUAUCACCGGGGAUUGAUCGAUGAAAGCUUGGUAGACAGAUUGUUGAACCAUCUAGACAUCUUGCCCGAGUCCUCGGCGAUUGUAAUCUGGCGGGGAGUUGGAAAAGGAGCUUUUCUAACAGUUUCCCCGCUCCUGGUACGACUGAAGGAUUGUAAGCAUGUCUUUCGGUAGUGUGCUAUUUGUUUCUCCAGUUCUUCCUUCUGGUCAUCCUUGAGGUCUGCUUCUGUCACCUCGAUGACGUUAUCUUUAAAGAUUUCGGUAGCUUUCAACAUGGUAGCGGUUGUAUUCGUCCCACCGGGCGUGCCAAAAGUGUGUUGACGCUGGAAAUCAGCCGAUUGAAUCUCUAGCGUCAGACACACGACCCGGGAGAAUCUGCUUAACUCCUGUUCGGGUGAUCACCCUAGUGCGGUUCGCGCGGCGUGCCAGCCAAUCUGACCUAUUGAUUGGCAAGGAAAAAAACGUGUCAGAUCCCAGAGGUUGCGAUCGGCUAAGGUUCCGAUCUCGAGAGAGCUUAUCAGCGAAUCGGCCGAUUUGCUAUAAUAAAGAAAUCGGCUAUAAUACAGCCGAUUACCAGGCAACGUUGAUAAAGAAAACUGCUAGAGUAAACUAAACAACGCUACAGUAGCAACACUAGGAACAGGUCUUAAUCGGCUAUGUGGAAAGUGGCAGGUUAAGCGAUAAAAUAUAAGUAAGCCGAAAGCCCUAAUUCCAAGCUGGAUAACUGGUGAUAAAACUAGAACAACAAGUAAAACCUAAAAUCCUAGUGAAUAUUGAUAACUGAUGAAUAAAUCUAAAUGAAACGACAGCGAUACGCCCGAAGUUAAAGCUUAGAUAUUACUCGAUAAACGGAACUUACAGAAUCGGUCGGAGAUCAAGUUGAUGCAGCCCCGCCAACCCGUACGGACUCGUGAAAAGAAGAAAAGUAUUGGCGAAGUCGCCUGCUUGAAAGUAAAGUGCGAGGAAAUAGUAGGUUGUUGUAUUGAUUUGAUGAUGAUUACAGAUCUAUGAAGGCGGCUAUUUAUAGCCUGUUACAACCAAUCUCUUAACCGACUAGGAUUCUAUCUCUAAUUUUAAAUGAAAAUGAAUAUUUACAAGUGUGAUUCGUAUCGGAGUUGAUUGCUGUGUUCCUAUGGGCCGACCCCUUUUAUCUUCGUAAUCCAUUUUGAGCCCAUAUUGUCCCAACUACUCCAGCCUAUCGAUCGGUCGAUUUCUAUCAACUCCCUUCGCCGAAACAUUGCAGCACCAAUCGGCCGAUCUCUAACUGUAGCACCAAUCGGCCGAUUCCCAAUCGUGACCUCCGUGCCUCGCCGCAUCAGCUGAUUCUCACCCUUCUUGACGCCGAUUUCAUACGUGUCAAAAUCUGGCGUCAACAAAUAUUCAUUAAAAUGUGGCCAUUUGUGGUUUAGUUAUAUUUUAUCAUUUGUGAGCAAUCCAUUUGAACUUCAGUAAGAUUAUAAUGUGCCUAAUAAGUGUUGUGUAUGGUCCACAUCAUGCCUUUGUAUCACAAAGUGGUUAGCAAAUUCAAAAAGUAGUGUUGUAUAAGCAGUCUAUAAACAAAAAAAAAUAGAGUAUCAUGUCUACUCCUCAUGUUCUUGUAGUUGAUGACUCUUCUGUUGAUCAUCUUGUUGCAUCAAGAGUUUUAAAGAGUUGUAACAUUGAAGGUGAAAUGACAAGUAUGAACUUUCCAUUCGCAAUCAACAAUCAAUCUUUACUUUUUUUUACCGAAGUCAAUAGGGGAAACCCCUACCUAUUUUUUUAGUAUAAUUUUUUAUUCCAAACCUGUUUAAUUCGCUCCCAGGAAGUUGAACCAUGGCCUGCUGGAUACUAAUCAGCUGCUCUAACCACUAGGCUUGAGGCCCUUUCGCUUCAAUUCAUGGAUUAGUUGUAGAACUGUUAUAUAAGUAUUGCAUGUUUUGUAUGAAAGUGCAUUAAUGGAGGGGUUGCAGCUUAUAUCACCAAACUUGUCAAGGCUGCAUAUGUGCCUAGCCUUCAUAGCUACAUUUGAUGAGCUGAUGAGGGUUAUGAAUAGAGAUAGAAUUAUGGAACUAUGCUAUUAAAUUAUAUUUUCUAUAAUCUAACAAUAGUCAUUAAGAUGUGUCCAUGUAUGGUUCUGUUAUAUUUUAUCAUUUGUGUGCAAUCCAUUUGAACUUUUGUAAGAUUAUAACUUGCCUGUUAAGUAGUCCACAUGCUGCAAUUGUAUCAUAAAGUGGUUAGAACACUCAGAAAAUAGUGUAGUAGGAGCGGCCCAUAAAUAACAAAACAUAGAGUAUCAUGGUCACUCCUCAUGUUCUCGUAAUUCAUGACUCUACUGUUGACCAUCUUGUUGUAUGAAAGUCUUAAAGAUUUGUAACAUUCAAGGUGAAAUGAUUACUAUGAACUUUCCAUUUGCAAUCAACAAUUAACCUUUUCUGAUGUAUUGCUCUUCAAGAUUUAUUUUUGAAGUUUCACAUUCAUUGCAAUGGAGAGAUAACGUAAUUGGACUUAUGUUCUUAUGUAAUAUUAUUGUUAAUGUUUUUCAUAUUCCAAUCUCAAGCAACUUGAGAUAUAAUACAAGUGGUACCUUUAUUUAUAUAUUUUAUUUUUUCCAUUGAAACUACUAAGGAAAUUUGUUUCUACACUCAAAAUUCAUCCAUGAUUAACCACAUCCUUGGUGAUUAGGUGUGCUGAUGAUGCCCCUGAAAGGAUAAAAACUGAAUAUAAAAACAUCAAUACAUGGAUUAAUUAUGAAAUUAUUAUCUAAGUAUUUUGAUUUUGUAUAUGCUUAUUUUGUACGGGUUGCAGCUUAUCAUCAAACUUGUCAAAGUUGUAGAUGUGCCUAGCCUUGUUAGCUAUAUUUGAUGAGCAGGUGAGGGUGAUGAAUAAAGACAGGAUAAUGGAACUAUGUUACUAGGUUAUAUUUCCCGUCAUCUAGAAAUAGUCAUUAAGAUGUGGAUAUGUGUGGUUGUGUUUUAUUUUAUCAUUUGUGUGCAAUCUAUUUGAACUUCAUUGAGAUUAUAAUGUGCCUAGUAAGCAUUGUGUGUGGUCCACAAAAUGUUUAUUAUCUCAAAGUGGUUAUCAAACUUAGAAAGUAGUGUUGUAUUAGUGGCCCAUAAAUAUAAAAAUAGAGAGUAUCGUCGUCACUCCUCAUGUUCUAGUAGUUGAUGACUCUUCUAUUGAUCAUCUUGUUGCAUCGAGAGUCUUAAAGUGUUGUAACAUUCAAGGUGCAAUGUUUACUAUGAACUUUCCAUUGUGUUAUAUUUUAUAAUUCGUUUGCAAUCAAUUUGAACUUCUAUGAGAAUAUAAUUUGGAUAUUACGUAUUGUGUAUGGUCCACAUCAUGCCUUUUUAUUACAAAGUGGUUAGUAAACUCAAAAUGUAUUGUUGUAUGAGUGGCCCAUAAAUAAAAAAACAAAGAGAAUGAUGGCCACUCCUCAUGUUCUCGUAGUUGAUGGCUCUUCUAUUGGUCAUCUUGUUGCACGAGAGUCUUAAAGAGUUGUAACAUUCAAGGUGCAAUGUUUACUCUGAACUCCCCAUUAUGUUAUAUUUUAUUAUUUGGUUACAAUCCAUUUGACUUCUACGAGCCUAUAAUUUGUCUCUUACAUAUUGUGUGUGGCUCAUCCUGCCUUUGUAUCACAAAGUGGUUAGUAAACUCAAAAAGUAGUCUUGUAUGAGCGGCCCAUAAAUAAAAAAACAAAGAGUAUCAUGGCCACUUCUCAUGUUCUCGUAGUUGAUGACUCUUUUGUUGAUAAUUUUGUUGCAUCGAGAAUCUUGACGAGUUGUAACCAUCAAGGUGCAAUGAUUACUAUGAACUUUCCAUUUGUAAUCAUAUUCUUAUGUAAUAUUUUCAUCAAUGUUUUUUCUAUUUCAAUUAGAUGCAACUUUAGAUAUAGUAUAAAUACUAUGUCUAUUUUAAACAUUAUAUGUUUUUUCCAUUAAACUAGUAAUGAAAUUUUAUUUCUUCACUCAUAAUCAUCCAAGCUUAGUCACAUCCCUAUGGUCAUUAUGGGCAAACUGUAUGAAAAUAUUCAAUUAAUUUAUUAGUUAUAGAAUUGUUACCGAUGUAUUCAGUUUUUGUAUAUGCAUGUUUUGUAUGGAAGUACCUUGAAGGAAGAUUUGCAACUUAUAUCAUCAAACUUGUCAAAGCUGCAAAUGUGUCUAACCUUCUUAGCUACAUUUGAUGAGCUGAUGAGGGUGAUGAAUAAAAAUGGUGUAAUGGAAGUCUACUAUUAAGUUAUAUCUCAUGUGAUCUAACAAUCAUCAUUUAUAUGUGGCUAGUUGUGUUUUUCUUAUAUUUUAUCAUUUGUGUGCAAUCCAUUUGAAUUUCUAUGAGACUAUAAUAUGGCUAUUAAGUAUUAUGUGUGGUCCACAUCAUGCCUUUGUAUCACAAACUGGUUAGCAAACUUAUAAAAUGGUGUUGUAUUAGCAUUCCAUAAAUAAAAAAAUAGAGAGUAUCAUGGACACUUUUUGUAUUCUCAUAGUUGAUGAUUUUUCUAUUGAUCAUCUUGUUGCAUCGAGAGUCUUAAAGAGUUGUAACAUUCAAGGUGCAACGAUUAUUGUGAACCUUCCAUUGUCAAUGUCCAAUCAACCUUUUUUGAUGUAUUAUUGUUUUAUUUUUUUUAUUUUUAAGUUCCAAACUUGUUGCAAAAGGAGGGAAAUAUUUUAUGAAAGUUACUUAAUGGAAGGGUUGUAGCUUAUAUCACCAAUAAUAUCAGAGUUGUAGAUGUGCCUAGCCUUCGUAGCUACAUUUUAUGAGCUGAUGAGGAUGAUGAAUAAACAUGGGAUAGAACUCUAUUACAGGAUUAUAUAUAUCCUACUAUCUAACAAUCUUAUUUGGAUAUGGACAAUUGUAGGCUCCCCUACCGGUCCGUCAAAGAAAAGAUAUGGACAUAUGUGUUUCUGUUAUAUUUUAUCAUUUGUGUACAAUUCAUAUAAACUUAACAACUGUAAGAUUAUAAUGUGGAGUAUUGUGUGUGGUCAACAUCAUCUCUUUGUAUUAUAAUCUGAUCAGCUGCAAACUCAGAAAUUAGUACUGUAUUAGCAGCCCACAAAUUGUUACCCGUUAUGUUUAGUAUGGUGAAUAUAUUCUCCUGAUCCCUUGUUUAAUUUUCCACAAAUUGUGCAAAAGUUAAUAAAUAAAACUUGUAGACUCUACUAUGGGUGUGGGUUCUAUCCAAGGUUCUGAAAGUUCUAUAGAUAGCAACACAAGAAGAAAACUGGCCAAUGAACUUUUGAAAUCAUUUAAAACGUGCAAACAACACGAAGAAGUCAAUUAAGCUGGUCCAUAUGGACAGAUCAACUGCUUCUAAUAGCUUGUUGAAUCUGGUAGCAUCCACUAUAUAGUUCUAGUAGUUUCCACAUCUCAUUCACUAUCAAAGUAAGAAUUCUAGUUAAUAUGCACUAAGUAGGAGAAGAAUUCACAACAGAUGCUAGCCUUAACUCAUCAUCACAAAAAUAAACCGAAGAAAAUAAAUCAAUAUUUUGGGUUAAGCAUUAAAUGAUUUUAUUAAAAAUCAUAAAGCAUCACUACAAAGAUAGAAAAGUGGCAUGUUCGCUUCAGCUUAUUCAGCCGGCUUAUCAGCCACCAAACAGUGUUUUCCUCUCACAACAAAUCAGCCGUUUCAGCUUUUCAGCCGGCUUAUAAGCUGAAGCGAACAGGCCCAGAAUCAUAAUGUCGAUGAGUGGAAUACUGAAACUCAUAUAGUUGAAAUGCAAAUACUAGUCUAGAACAGCUUAAGAAGAUUUCCUAUGAGGAUAGACAAUGGUUAUUUCACAGCUCCCUAUCAUAAGUUGCAGGAUGUUACUAAAGUUGCCUCUAUUACAUCUAAAGAUUGUAAACACAUCCAUAUUCAAGGAAACUAAAAAUAAUAAAUGUUAAUAUAACAACUUACAGAGGUUCAAACUGUAUACACAAAGAUUGGAGUUUGUUCUUAGUAUUGUAUCGCAAGCAUACAUGAGCAUGAAGACAUGAUGAAUUGAUUACAUGAGGAUCAACAUUUCCUAAGAGUGCCUCAACUUUGACUGGGACCUUGAGCUGGAGAUGAAAUACUUGUACCUGACCAAGGUAUUGGUAGACUGAUCUUCACCAAGAUCUUGCCCUACAAUGCAAAUGUUAGUAUGGUCAUUAUUUGAAAAACAUCAUAUAACAACGAAAUAAGAAAGUUAUGCAAACAACCCUUAUACCAUUGUAUACAUCUUUUUCCUUAAAUAACCAAUCUUUCCUACACACAAAGGCUUCUAACAUCUCCAGAGUUAGUGAACUUUUUGACUUCCCAAGAAUCCUACCUCCAAGACUAAAGGUGGAUUCGGAAGACACAGUGCUAAGAGGAAUGGCGAGAAAAUCAUGUGUCAUGGUUGAUAAGAUUAGGAACUUCUCAGCAUGUGCCUUCCACCAUGCCAAAAUGUGAAAGUUUUCAUAUCCUCCACAUAAUCUUCUUCAAAGUACAUGUCAAAUUUAGACUUUGGUACCCGAGUCUUUCUCCAACUUGACUUGAAAUUUGCAAAUUCUUGUCCUAUCUACUAUUUCACAAGCAUCAUUGAGCCCACAACACUAAUGCCCUCACUUGAAUAUGUCAUAGAUUAUGCACCACCUCUCCUCACACAUUGCUCAUACUCCAUAAAGUAUUUCUUCAUCCAACCUAGAGCAACAUUGACACUUGUAUGAAUCCGAUCUAUAUUCAUACAAAUCUUUUGAUAGAAGAACUCCAACUAUUAUGCUCCCCUCGGAUCUAACAUUAUGUCAAUAACAAUUCCAAAGUUGACAUCAUAAUCCUUUUUAUUUUUUGCAAGGAGUAGUCUGAUUUGACUCAUCAAAAUCUAUACCCCAAUACUUUGCAAACUUGAUCUUCAUGGCUGCAGCCAAGUUUUGUAGCGCCACACUCGUUUGGCAAGCAGGGUCAUCCAAGGCAUCCUGAAUCAAAAGAACCAAAGGCAAGAACUUGUGUGAAGUUGGUUUCCUAUCAGCUGAUACUACCUUUGUAGCCUCUUCAAAGGUUUUAAGAAACCUAUAGAUUGAUUCAGAUUUGCUCCACUCUUCUUCAUUUGGGGAAAUUUCAAUAUCUUGAUUUGCAUAGCUAUUAAGGACCACAUUGUACUUUAUUCCUCCAAACAUUCUGAAGGUGAAAUUCCAAAGGUUGGGUAUGUCAAGAGGAAUACCACAUUUUGUAGGAAGACCAUUCACCAAUGCAAUUAUAUUAAAAUCUUUUAUUUGUCAUGGUAAAGAGUUCAUAUGCUUUGAGAGCUCCUGAAUCUUCUUUAUCCCCUCAUGAAUAAUCUUCAUGCCAUCCUGAACCAAAAUAUUCACGAUAUGUGCACAACAUCUUACAUACAAAUGUGCACCCUCAAACAUCAACUCAUGCUUCUAGAAACACCAACUCCUCCCAUGCGCUAUUGUUGUUACUAGCAUUAUCCAUUGUUAGAGUAAACAACUUGUUUCGUAUGCCCCAUUUGGUUAGGCCACUCACAAGUGCUUCUUCAAUGGCAAAGCAUGUGUGUGGAUACUUCACCUUCUUAUUAUCUUCUUCUUUAUCUUGAAGUCAGGAGUGAUAAGAUGAGCUGUUAUAAUAUGUAGCCUAAGUUUUUUAUCAAUGUCCACAAAUCUGACGUUAGACACACACGGUAGUCUAGGCUUUGAAGUUCAUUCUAAAGAUCUUGCUUCAUUCUCUGAUACUUUUUUAGACAAUCAUUGUGAAUAGUUUGUCGCCCUAUAUCAGCAUGUAUGACAAACUCAAUCAUACGCUCAGUGAAAAGCUUAGGGACAAACAUAAAGUUUUCUAUAGGUUUCUUCAAUGUUACUAUAAACCUUUAAAAUCAUCAUCAACUCGCACACAGCUUUAAAACCAUCAUCAACUCCUACUAGAUUCUGCUCAAAAUGUUUCCCAACCUUGGACCUUUUAGCAUGUGUUUUUGUUUAAUGAGAAUCAUCAGAUCUUUCAGAUGUGUUUGCAGAAAUGUUAAGGUAACAGGCUAGAAAAUAAAAUCACUAUGUAAGAAAGCAGGUUCAACAACAUAUAAGAAAUCUUAUUUUAGGUUUUUGCAUUUUUAUUUAUUCUAUCUAAUAAAAUCAAGGAACAACAUUUAGGUAUAUAUAAAAAAGAGAGAACAUGAUGAAGGACAGAACAAUUUAGUAGACCAACAGGGAGUAAAAGGGCUUUGCAAAAAAGAACUAGUGCUGUCAUUCCAUUAGCUCUAUUCCUGAACAUAUAAGAACUUCUAUGCGCUAUUAAUUGAAUAGCACAUCUCUAGUGCUAGUAUGUACUACAAAAGUUGGCAGACUACUCUGACAGUAGUGGAAUACAACUACUCUAAAUGCAUUUAGUUAUAGUGAUUAGUUCACAUUCUAGUGAGCUACUCCUAUAGCCUCGAUGCUGCAUAAUUAAGUUGGUAGACUACAUCACUAUCUCUGGAGAAGAAAAAUGCUUAGAGGUUGCCAACCAAAAAGAGUGUGGUUGGAUAUUCAGAUCUAAAAUGUGUAGAUCAGUCUCGCAAGAUUAAGUCUAGCUAACCAAACAUUUCAAUUGGAAAAUACAACCUAUGCUUUUCCCUUUUUAACAUAAAUGGUAACAUUACUACUUCUAGGAAAAAGUCCACUUACUGUACUUAAUUUAACUGCCAAAACUAAGCUGCUUACAUCCAGGGAAAAUUCUUUUUACCAUACAUCUCUGGUGGCUUGAUGAUUUGGCAGGUACAAAGACGGGAAGAGCGCAAGAACACCCAAGAACCCACAUCGCGAGCAUGAGGUACAAACCUUAGGCAAUACGAGAUCGAGAAGAUGACGGGGGAUGAACUCACAAGACUAGCUGCCGAGGGGGGAAGACGAGGUGGAGGCGUCGUGGCGGAUGCGAAGGAGGCGGCCGACGUGGAGGUGCCCGUGUCUAAGGGGAUGGGAUGGAGAGGAGGCAUGCCUUGGUGUUGCCUGCGGGUGAGCGAGGUGGAGGCUUUGCGGCGGCGUGGGCGAGGUGGAUGUGGAGGCGUGGCUACGGCGGUGGGGAAAGGGAGGCGAGGCGAGGCUACGAGGGGUUAGCAUAGUCUCUAUAGGCGGCCC